Molecule: ribosomal RNA, 468 nt
Filed under: uncultured bacterium
Lineage: Bacteria
Description: partial 16S ribosomal RNA
Rfam family: Bacterial small subunit ribosomal RNA
Source: RNAcentral
GACGAACGCUGGCGGCGUGCUUAACACAUGCAAGUCGAACGGAAAGGCCCUGCUUUUGUGGGGUGCUCGAGUGGCGAACGGGUGAGUAACACGUGAGUAACCUGCCCUUGACUUUGGGAUAACUUCAGGAAACUGGGGCUAAUACCGGAUAGGAGCUCCUGCUGCGUGGUGGGGGUUGGAAAGUUUCGGCGGUUGGGGAUGGACUCGCGGCUUAUCAGCUUGUUGGUGGGGUAGUGGCUUACCAAGGCUUUGACGGGUAGCCGGCCUGAGAGGGUGACCGGCCACAUUGGGACUACGAUACGGCCCAGACUCCUACGGGAGGCAGCAGUGGGGAAUAUUGUACAAUGGGCGGAAGCCUGAUGCAGCAACGCCGCGUGCGGGAUGACGGCCUUCGGGUUGUAAACCGCUUUCGCCUGUGACGAAGCGUGAGUGACGGUAAUGGGUAAAGAAGCACCGGCUAACUACGUG